RNAcentral lists this ribosomal RNA (496 nucleotides) under uncultured bacterium. RNAcentral's name for it is "partial 16S ribosomal RNA". It matches the Rfam family "Bacterial small subunit ribosomal RNA", at positions 28 to 506 of the family's 1533-position model. The record is from RNAcentral.
GAUGGACGCUGGCGGCGUGCCUAAUACAUGCAAGUCGAGCGAACGGACGAGAAGCUUGCUUCUCUGAUGUUAGCGGCGGACGGGUGAGUAACACGUGGAUAACCUACCUAUAAGACUGGGAUAACUUCGGGAAACCGGAGCUAAUACCGGAUAAUAUUUUGAACCGCAUGGUUCAAAAGUGAAAGACGGUCUUGCUGUCACUUAUAGAUGGAUCCGCGCUGCAUUAGCUAGUUGGUAAGGUAACGGCUUACCAAGGCAACGAUGCAUAGCCGACCUGAGAGGGUGAUCGGCCACACUGGAACUGAGACACGGUCCAGACUCCUACGGGAGGCAGCAGUAGGGAAUCUUCCGCAAUGGGCGAAAGCCUGACGGAGCAACGCCGCGUGAGUGAUGAAGGUCUUCGGAUCGUAAAACUCUGUUAUUAGGGAAGAACAUAUGUGUAAGUAACUGUGCACAUCUUGACGGUACCUAAGCAGAAAGCCACGGCUAACUACGU